AAUCGAACUCGGAGAUAGCUGGUUCUCCCCGAAAUAGCUUUAGGGCUAGCCUCGUUUUAAAUUACCGGGGGUAGAGCACUGAAUGGGCUAGGGGGCCACAAAGCUUACCGAACCCUAUCAAACUUCGAAUACCGGAUAAUUGAUGAACGGGAGUCAGACGGCGGGAGAUAAGUUUCGUCGUCAAAAGGGAAACAGCCCAGAUCUACGACUAAGGUCCCGAAAUCACAGUUAAGUGGAAAAGGAUGUGCAGUUGCACAGACAACCAGGAUGUUGGCUUAGAAGCAGCCACUCAUUUAAAGAGUGCGUAAUAGCUCACUGGUCGAGUGAUUGUGCGCCGAAAAUGUACCGGGGCUAAACUGUGUACCGAAGUCUAGGGAUCGUGAUAAACGAUCGGUAGGGGAGCAACGUGUGCGGGCUGAAGCCGAAGCGGAAGCGACGGUGGACUGCACGGGAGAGAGAAUGCCGGCAUGAGUAGCGAGAGCAAAGUGAGAAUCUUUGCCGUCGAAAGCCUAAGGUUUCCUGAGGAAGGCUCGUCCUCUCAGGGUAAGUCAGGACCUAAGCCGAGGACAAAAGUCGUAGGCGAUGGACAACUGGUUGAUAUUCCAGUACCACCUUUAGCGUUUGACUGAAGCAGUGACACAGAAGGAUAGACAGAGCGCGUGACUGGUAGAGCGCGUCCAAGCGAUGAGGGAGUUAAGUAGUGAAGCACGCUUAACAAUCCUGGGUCGUGAUGGGGACUGAAAAUAAGUAGGGAAGCUGUUGAAUUCACGCUGGCGAGAAAAGCUGCUAAGGAGCGAAAGGGUGCCUGUACCGCAAACCGACACAGGUAGGCGAGGAGAGAAUCCUAAGACGAGCGGGAGAACCCAUGUUAAGGAACUCGGCAAAAUGACCCUGUAACUUCGGGAUAAAGGGAGCCACGAGAGUGGCCGCAGAGAAUAGGCCCAAGCGACUGUUUACCAAAAACACAGGUCUGUGCGAAGUAGAGAUACGACGUAUACGGGCUGACGCCUGCCCAGUGCCGGAAGGUUAAGGGGAAGUGUUAGGGCAACCGAAGCACGGAACUUAAGCCCCGGUGAACGGCGGCCGUAACUAUAACGGUCCUAAGGUAGCGAAAUUCCUUGUCGGGUAAGUUCCGACCCGCACGAAUGGUGUAACGAUUUGGGUACUGUCUCAACAAGGGACCCGGCGAAAUUGUAGUAUGUGUGAAGAUGCACAUUACCCGCGAUAGGACGGAAAGACCCCGUAGAGCUUUACUGUAGUUUAACAUUGGAUUUCGGUAACAUAUGUACAGGAUAGGUGGGAGGCGAAGAACCAGGGACGCCAGUUUCUGGGGAGCCGACCUUGGGAUACCACUCUUGUGUUAUUGGAGUUCUAACGAAUUGCCGUGAACCGGGAUUCGGACAGUGUUAGAUGGGCAGUUUGACUGGGGCGGUCGCCUCCUAAAGAGUAACGGAGGCGUCCAAAGGUUCCCUCAGAAUGGUUGGAAACCAUUCGCAGAGUGUAAAGGCAGAAGGGAGCUUGACUGCGAGACCGACAGGUCGAGCAGGUGCGAAAGCAGGGCUUAGUGAUCCGGCGGUAUGAGAGUGGAAUUGCCGUCGCUCAACGGAUAAAAGCUACCUCGGGGAUAACAGGCUGAUCUCCCCCAAGAGUCCACAUCGACGGGGAGGUUUGGCACCUCGAUGUCGGCUCGUCGCAUCCUGGGGCUGAAGCAGGUCCCAAGGGUUUGGCUGUUCGCCAAUUAAAGCGGCACGCGAGCUGGGUUCAGAACGUCGUGAGACAGUUCGGUCCCUAUCCAUCGUGGGCGAAGGACACAUGAGAGGAGCUGCUCCUAGUACGAGAGGACCGGAGUGGACGCAUCACUGGUGCAACUGUUGUCGUGCCAACGGCACAGCAGGGAAGCGAAAUGCGGACGGGAUAAACGCUGAAGGCAUCUAAGCGUGAAGCCCACCUCAAGAAUAAGUGU
Molecule: ribosomal RNA, 1963 nt
Filed under: human gut metagenome
Description: bacterial LSU rRNA
Rfam family: Bacterial large subunit ribosomal RNA
Source: RNAcentral